GAAUAUCUUACACACGACAAAUACUACCCUCUAAAGAAGAAGAAACAAUGGCGGUGUGGAGGAAGAUCUCUGCAAUUCGCUCUUCGCGGUCGAGUUGAAUCCUGCAAAUCAAAGUACAAAACCGCAGAAGAAAUCGUCGAUCAUCUUCGCUCAAAUUACCCUGAUUACCACCGAACUAAAUAUCAAACCCUAAUUCGAUUUGUUGACGACGCUCUUCAACAUUCCAACAACACUCCCACACGGAACCAUAACCAAAACAACAAUGCCGAAGAAGAUGACCACGAGGAUGAGAAUCCAAGUGCUUCUCGAAAGAGACGUAAGGUAAUUAACGAUGAAUCUCAAGAUAGAUUGCAAAAGAUGGAAGCACUUCACAUCAAACCAAGGAUGAGUACCCAAGCUUCAUCAACUUCGUCCGGUUCUGCUUCGGGUGCAGUGUAG
Non-coding RNA from Vicia faba (fava bean), 438 nucleotides. Lineage: Eukaryota; Viridiplantae; Streptophyta; Magnoliopsida; Fabales; Fabaceae. The record is from the annotation of a GenBank genome assembly.